CCACUACAAAUAAUUUAGCCAAAGAAAACCACAAAAACAAACUAUCCACACUGCCAUAAAUAACUAACUAAGAAUGUAGACAAUACAUGUACGGAGGCUCCAAAGAAAGCCACCACAAGCCACACAAAAGUCUACUAUAAGAGUAGACAUAAAGAUUCAUAAAAAGUAUUCAAGAAUCCCAAAGACUUACUUAAUCAACCCUUAAUUUAUUUUAAUGGAUUGACUUUAGGAACCAAAUGAGACUUAGGAGUGACCCUUGGAAGCCAAUGGUAAGUUGAGUUUGCAUCCGAAUUUAAUUAUUUUACUGUUUUGAUAAUUUAUAGAUUAUAUUAUGUGGAUUUCUUUUGCUUCUAAGAUGAGUAAGUGUAAGUAAAUCCAUAGUUAGAGAUAUAGUAGAUCUUUUUAUAAUUAUAUGUUCCUCUUUUGUUUAUAGUGGUCAAAGUGUAAUUUGAAGGAAAUUAUAAGUUCUACUUAG
RNAcentral lists this long non-coding RNA (475 nucleotides) under Cicer arietinum (chickpea). Its description in RNAcentral is "long non-coding RNA (CARI_LNC000926)". The record is from RNAcentral. Lineage: Eukaryota; Viridiplantae; Streptophyta; Magnoliopsida; Fabales; Fabaceae.